CGUUUACCGUGAAAAAAUUAGAGUGUUCAAAGCAGGCAGAUCCAAUUUUCUGCCACCGAAUACAUUAGCAUGGGAUAAUGGAAUAGGACCCUGUCCUCCUAUUUUCAGUUGGUUUUGGCAGCGCGAGGACUAGGGUAAUGAUUAAUAGGGAUAGUUGGGGGCAUUAAUAUUUAAUUGUCAGAGGUGAAAUUCUUGGAUUUAUGAAAGAUUAACUUCUGCGAAAGCAUCUGCCAAGGAUGUUUUCAUUAAUCAAGAACGAAAGUUAGGGGAUCGAAGACGAUCAGAUACCGUCGUAGUCUUAACCAUAAACGAUGCCGACCAGCGAUUAGGAGACGUUGAAUACAAAACACCACCAUCGGUGCGGUCGUCCUUGGCGUCGGUCUUUCGGGGCCGGCGCGGGGACGGCUUAGCCCGGUGGCACCGGUGAAUGACUCCCUAGCACCUUGUGAGA
This 451-nucleotide ribosomal RNA is filed under the name Acanthamoeba genotype T4. RNAcentral describes it as "SSU rRNA". It matches the Rfam family "Eukaryotic small subunit ribosomal RNA", at positions 749 to 1095 of the family's 1831-position model. The record is from RNAcentral. Lineage: Eukaryota; Discosea; Longamoebia; Acanthamoebidae.